UUGGUUUGUUUACAUUUUUCUCCGCAUUGUUUUUGGUGAAUUUUCCGUGAAAAUGGCUGGAAAAAGAAAAGCAGAUUCGCAAAUUCCAGCGGAGGAGAAUGAUUUGCUUCUCAUCAAACCAUUGGGAGCUGGUCAGGAAGUAGGAAGAUCCUGCAUUAUGCUGGAGUUCAAGGGGAAGAAAAUUAUGCUCGAUUGUGGGAUUCAUCCGGGAUUAAGUGGCAUGGAUGCACUUCCUUUCGUCGAUCUGAUUGAACCGGAAGAGGUUGACUUGCUCUUUAUAUCACACUUCCAUUUGGAUCACUGUGGCGCCCUUCCGUGGUUCCUGCAGAAAACCUCCUUCAAGGGACGCUGCUUCAUGACUCACGCCACAAAGGCAAUCUACCGAUGGAUGCUGUCGGAUUACAUCAAAGUCAGCAACAUCUCCACCGAACAGAUGCUCUACACGGAAGCAGAUCUCGAGGCAAGCAUGGAGAAGAUCGAGACGAUAAAUUUCCACGAAGAACGCGACGUUCUUGGGGUUCGUUUCUGGGCCUACAACGCUGGACACGUUCUGGGAGCUGCAAUGUUCAUGAUUGAGAUUGCCGGCGUGAAGAUUCUCUACACCGGAGACUUUUCCCGGCAGGAAGAUCGGCAUUUGAUGGCCGCGGAGAUUCCCACAAUGCGUCCGGACGUUCUCAUCACUGAAUCAACGUACGGAACACACAUUCACGAGAAGCGUGAAGAUCGUGAAACACGCUUCACGUCACUCGUGCAGAAGAUUGUCACUCAGGGGGGACGAUGCCUCAUUCCGGUGUUUGCCUUGGGCAGGGCGCAGGAACUUCUGCUCAUUCUCGAUGAAUACUGGAGCCAGAAUCCCGAACUCCACGACAUUCCCAUCUACUACGCCUCAUCGCUGGCCAAGAAGUGCAUGGCUGUCUAUCAGACCUACAUCAAUGCCAUGAAUGACAAAAUCCGCCGACAAAUUGCCGUGAACAAUCCCUUCGUCUUCAGGCACAUCUCAAAUCUCAAGGGGAUCGAUCACUUCGAGGAUAUCGGGCCGUGCGUCGUGAUGGCGUCUCCGGGAAUGAUGCAGAGUGGCCUAUCGCGGGAACUCUUCGAAAAUUGGUGCACAGACGCAAAGAAUGGCGUCAUCAUUGCCGGGUACUGCGUCGAGGGCACCCUGGCCAAGACAAUCCUCUCGGAACCCGAAGAAAUCGUCACAAUGUCCGGACAGAAGCUGCCCCUGAACAUGUCCGUGGACUACAUCUCCUUCUCCGCACACACAGACUACCAGCAAACGAGUGAAUUCAUCAGACUCCUCAAGCCACGGCAUGUGGUUCUCGUGCACGGAGAGCAGAAUGAGAUGAGCAGGCUCAAGUCUGCCCUUCAGCGGGAGUACGAAGCUGAACCAACGACGCAAAUCUCCUUCCACAAUCCCCGGAACACGCACACAGUUGAGCUGCACUUCAAGGGUGAGAAGACGGCCAAAGUGAUGGGAAGUUUAGCUGUGAAGCGCCCCGAAAAGGAUCAGAAGCUCAGCGGGGUCCUCGUCAAGAGAGACUUUAAGUAUCACAUCCUGGCCGCAUCGGAUCUAUCGAAGUACUCCGAUAUGAGCAUGUCGGUGGUAACACAGAAGCAGAGUCUCAUUUGGACAGGUUCAAUGAAUACUUUGCGAUUACUGCUUGAACGAAUCGGUGGUCCAGGAACUGUUGCAGCUACAGACACUGAAAAGAAGUAUCGCAUUUUUAACUGUAUCGACGUGCAGUUGGAGGGUAAAAUAAUUGUGUUGGAGUGGCAGGCUACGCCGGUGAAUGAUAUGUUUGCCGACACAGUCCUUGCUACGCUCCUGCAGUCAGAUCUCUGUGGAACCACUAUUAAGGGUACAUCGGGUCACAAGGGGGAUCGGAGUCACUUCAAGGAGUGCCUCGUUGAGACGAUGCAGGAUAUGUUUGGGGAGAAGUCUGUGCCGAAGAUGAUACGAGGCGAUGAUUUUGAGGUCAAUGUGAACGGGAAGAAGGCUACAGUUGAUCUGGAGAAGUUGACAGUUAGCUGCCCUGAGGAUGAGCAAAUGCAGAAGAUGAUCCAUACGGCUGUUCACAAACUCUACCAAUCCCUCGUACUUGGGCCAGCAAACUAAAUUGUAAGAAAAAUUGAAUAAAGCGUAUUUUAAAAAAAAAUGAAAAACAAUGCAAAUGUAAAAAAAAAGAGUACUCUGCGUUGAUACCACUGCUU
This is an RNA transcript of Lutzomyia longipalpis, 2211 nucleotides long. It is a transcript of the gene named cleavage and polyadenylation specificity factor 73, with no coding region annotated. NCBI's taxonomy places the organism in Eukaryota, Metazoa, Arthropoda, Insecta, Diptera, Psychodidae. The transcript has 7 exons. The record is from RefSeq and is a predicted model, not a curated record.